Molecule: small RNA, 16 nt
Filed under: Arabidopsis thaliana (thale cress)
Lineage: Eukaryota; Viridiplantae; Streptophyta; Magnoliopsida; Brassicales; Brassicaceae
Description: ATSL071690
Source: RNAcentral
UUUUUUUCUUCUCCUU